This is a long non-coding RNA of Mus musculus (house mouse), 424 nucleotides long. RefSeq annotates it as predicted gene, 36896. Lineage: Eukaryota; Metazoa; Chordata; Mammalia; Rodentia; Muridae. The transcript has 3 exons. The record is from RefSeq and is a predicted model, not a curated record.
CUUUGGAGGAGAGGAGGCAAAGAGAGAGCUGCCUGGGUCAAUCUGAGAGCUCAGCCAACUCCUCAGGUACUGGGGACUAGGAGACCCUGACAAUGCCAUAGCUCAGCUGGGCCCAGCCAGGUUACAAGCCCUUCCUUUGGGUCUGCACGAUGAAGAAGGCUUGAUGCUUGUGGACUGCGAUGUCCCAGCUUGACUCAUCAGUCCCAACCAAGUGGUCAACCAGAAGAUGAAAAGCCCUGCUCUACCAUGUACUCCCCACCGUGAUGGUCUGCCUCAGCACACACCCAGAAACCAUGGAGCCAAGCAUCCAUGGACUCGAACUUGUGAACCUGUGAGUCAAAGAAAUCCUUCCUUCUGGGUUAUUUUCUCAGGUGUUUUUUGUUUGUUUGUUUGUUUGUUUUUGUGGUGACAGAGAUGGCUCAGU